RNAcentral lists this ribosomal RNA (468 nucleotides) under uncultured bacterium. RNAcentral's name for it is "partial 16S ribosomal RNA". It matches the Rfam family "Bacterial small subunit ribosomal RNA", at positions 28 to 507 of the family's 1533-position model. The record is from RNAcentral.
GACGAACGCUGGCGGCGCGCCUAACACAUGCAAGUCGAACGGAGUCAAGAGGAGCUUGCUUUUCUUGACUUAGUGGCGAACGGGUGAGUAACGCGUGAGUAACCUGCCCUGGAGUGGGGGACAACAGUUGGAAACGACUGCUAAUACCGCAUAAGCCCACGGAUCUGCAUGGAUCUGCGGGAAAAGGAUUUAUUCGCUCUAGGAUGGACUCGCGUCCAAUUAGCUAGUUGGUGAGGUAACGGCCCACCAAGGCGACGAUUGGUAGCCGGACUGAGAGGUUGAACGGCGACAUUGGGACUGAGACACGGCCCAGACUCCUACGGGAGGCAGCAGUGGGGGAUAUUGCACAAGGGGGGAAACCCUGAUGCAGCGACGCCGCGUGGAGGAAGAAGGUUUUCGGAUUGUAAACUCCUGUCGUUAGGGACGAUAAUGACGGUACCUAACAAGAAAGCACCGGCUAACUACGUG